RNAcentral lists this long non-coding RNA (1641 nucleotides) under Mus spicilegus (steppe mouse). RNAcentral's name for it is "lncRNA (ENSMSIG00000023694.1)". The record is from RNAcentral. Lineage: Eukaryota; Metazoa; Chordata; Mammalia; Rodentia; Muridae.
AAAGCCUCAAAGUGCAGCAGGCUUGGUUUCUGUCAAAGCUGCCUGAAUGGGGUGUGCAGCCAAUGAGGAAACAGAACAGAAUAUGGCUUGCUGAGCCAUCCAGCUCUUCACAGAUCAAUCCCAAUCCUACUACAAAUGGUGUCCUUACCAAAACCAGCCAGAAGAGCACAUGUGACCAGGAAGCCCCAGUGACUGGACAUGCUCAGGGUCCAGCUGCUAUGACAGUGAGAGCGUUCUGCUGAAGGCCCUGCUGGAGUUGACGUGAAACGAGCCGUGCAGCUUGUUGGAGCUCACACCAGAUUUCCUCCUUUCCCUGUCCUGUUGUGUGUACACCAUUAACCUGGGUGAGCUUAUUCCAGUCAGAGGACCUGGAACUGGAGAGGACAAGGAAGUAUUUUAUCACACCAUAUGGCUAUGCUGCUGAGACUUUGUUCUUAGGAGCCAAAGGAUACCCUGUCCUUACUUCCAACCAGGCAGAAAAGCCAUCCCUAGCCCUUCCAAGGGGUGAGAGCCCAGCAGAGCCUAGAGGAGGAGAGGUGAGUCAGAAGACGGAUCAAAUGAGAGACCCCAACAUCUCCGGAGUAACCUGCUCUCAGGAGCUGACUCUUCUGCCGAGGUCAGAGAUGAUCAGACACAUCUGAAUUGCAAUCAGAGAUAAACAGAGCACUGGGGCCUCUCAAGUCACCAGAGAAUAUGGCAGAGCGACUGGCAGCUACAAGGAUCCCAUUUAUGCGUUACGAUGCAGUUCUAUUCUUCAAUAGCUCACUCCAAACAAGGAAAUUAAAUUAAGCACUGUUUAAAAUGCCUCAGAUAAUAAUAUAAAUUUGUACUGAAUGAAUUUAGUGUCAUUUCCUUGUUUGGAAUGGAAGGUGAGAAAACACGAGAGCGGAGGAAAGAGUAAAUAGCGAACUCGAUUAAUCCUCCUGGAAGAGAACGGAGCCACACGAGCGACUUUUGUGUCUGUUUGGUUAAUAUUUUCCUGAAAAUUGUUAUUAGCUCUAACUGAUCCAAAUCAAAACCCACCGUAUAACGUUGCCAACAACUUAAUAGCUGGAGCGCAGGCCGGAAGGCUUGCCGUGGCGCCGCAGCGGAAGCGAAGGGGGCACGGGUGUGCUGGAGUUUGAGAUUAAAACCUGUCAGAGAAAGGCUGAAGCCAAGUAGAGAGCUGGGCUGGUCCUGAGAGAAAAGGGUCAGGACUGUGGCCUGGAGGCGAUACAGGGUCUGUUCCACUAGUGCGUGGCUUUUUGUGACUUGUGAAGGACAGGCAGGGAUGGUAAGCCCCACAAGGGGCUAAGUGAGGUGGAAUACACUUGUCUCCCGGAACUGGAGAGCUGAGGCCAGCCUGGGCCACAGAGUAAGCCUUUGCUUCAAAACAAAUGAGACAAAAACCAGCUAAUAACAAGAGAAUGUCCAGCUCUGCCCACCAAGAGCCAUGGUUAUAGUAGCUGUCAUCUUCCCUGGGAGCAAGGAAGCCUGGGGAGACAAGAGGCGUGUCCCACUUACUCCCAGCCUUCGGGACUCUCUUUGUUGUGGAGGGCUUUUGCCUUCAACUUGAGGAGGCAGGACUCUUUUCCGUUUCCUUUCAAGGAGCAAGGAGAGAAGCUAAGAACAGAUGUCCAGGCUGCAUUGAGGCCUUCGGCU